ACUUGUAGCUCAGUUGGUUAGAGCAACAGACUCAUAAUCUGGAGGUCCCUGGUUCAAGCCCAGGCUCG
RNAcentral lists this transfer RNA (68 nucleotides) under human gut metagenome. The stretch from base 5 to 65 matches the Rfam family "tRNA", at positions 7 to 64 of the family's 71-position model. From Rfam's summary of the family: Transfer RNA (tRNA) molecules are approximately 80 nucleotides in length. Their secondary structure includes four short double-helical elements and three loops (D, anti-codon, and T loops). Further hydrogen bonds mediate the characteristic L-shaped molecular structure. tRNAs have two regions of fundamental functional importance: the anti-codon, which is responsible for specific mRNA codon recognition, and the 3' end, to which the tRNAs corresponding amino acid is attached (by aminoacyl-tRNA synthetases). tRNAs cope with the degeneracy of the genetic code in two manners: having more than one tRNA (with a specific anti-codon) for a particular amino acid; and 'wobble' base-pairing, i.e. permitting non-standard base-pairing at the 3rd anti-codon position. The record is from RNAcentral.